UCUACCAGUAGGGAGUUUAUCCUUCACACCAGGAAAGGGCCACAUCGUUGUGCUCCAUGUGUGUGGGUAGAGGGACCUGCUGUCCUUUUGUAACCUGUGACUCUUCAGAGCAGCAGCCUUCAGCCAGUCAGACAGCUGAUAGGAAAUCUUACAACCAUGGCAAAGGGACAGACCACCUCUGCACUGGGGUGUGGUCCCCAAGGGCUUAUUCCUUUCUGCCAAGGCAGGAACACUGCAGGAGGAAAACCAGCUAUGGCCAGUUCUGCCUCUGGGCAUGCAUGCAUAAAUCCUGUUAAUGUUAAAAAGACCUGGCCCUCUACCAUGGAUCACUCACUUUUUUUGGUGGCAUUUAACUGUAAUCUCAGAUAAAAUGAAUGGGAAAAAUAGAUUUCUACAUUUUGACAGCUCCAUUCUCUGCAAAUUAACUAUAGUUUGAACUGUAUCUUUGCCAUACUAUCACCAUUCUGGCAUAUCUUAGUGUGUAAAGCUACUGAAUCUGCAAACCUGGAUGAUCAGAUUUGUUUGUAGGGAUUACAAAAGCCAACCCAACCUUGCUGAAUCAAGUUGAGAAGUUAAUAUGUAAAGGACUUAAAUAUAUCACAGCAGCAAAAGUAAGUCAAAUCCACCCUUUCAGGGAAUAUACUGAAGUAUUUUGGUGAAGUUUGAUACAGCAGCUUUGCUGUAGUGUCUGCACACUUCAGACUUGCCCAUCAUCAGACAGAAGGCAGGUGCCUUCAGCAGGCAACAUUGCUCCUUGUGUUUCUCUGGUCUGUAUUCCAUUUUUGCCUGUUCUCCAACAUUUUAUUCCUAAGUGGGGUGUUGGACCAUGACCAGAGUCCCUCAUUGCCUUUUCACAAGCUUUACUUUUAAGUAAACGAGGUGUCACGGCCGUGGUGAUCACAAGCAGCUGCAGCUGGUGCUCUGUGUGAAGCCAACCUGCGGGGCCCCAAUUAAAGCACUGCUCUCAUGCUCUCUGCUUUUCCCCUGCUCUGUGCUUUCCUCGGGGCUGGCACAGGACCGGGAUGCUCUCUCCUCCCUCCAUCCCUGCCUAGGGCACCCAGCCGAGGGGAGAAGCUGGUUCAGCCAAGUGCCUGCCCCCCGUUUGUGAGCCAGCACCCAAAGACCGCUCUAGGGCGUGAUUCCUUAGCAACUGCACGUUAGUAAAGCCCACAAAGGGCUGGCAAAGGACAGCUUUUAUCUCCACUUUUAAGUACCCUGUUCCUUUACAGCUGAGUGUGAGCCAGGCAGAGGCAUAACUUUCCAACUCGAUGCAUGAAGUAUGCUAAAUGCAAGAAGGAAGGAAGAUAAGCCUUUUGAUAAGGGGCUCACUGAAAAACCUGACAAAGACUUUCUGGACGUGUCUCUGAUCUGCUAUUCCAAGGUAAUUUUUCAGCCAAAACCAAAGUUAGCUGCUUAUACUUUCUGAUUAUUUUUGUGAGAUGGAAGAAACAGUGCCCAUGGUGUGAUUACAGACAUGAAGUAUCAUCUGGAUAGGAGAAAUCCUUACCCUCCAGUACAUGGGACAGUAUCUGUGGCAGGAGAGGCUCUACUGCCUCAGUUGUAAUGAUGCAAUAAAAUCCAGCUAUGGGCAGAUCUACUCAGCUGCACCUGGGGAAUGCGGAUAAUUUCUGGAAGAGCAGGAGGAGUAUUCCACAGCUUUUUCAGGAGGCUGAGGCUGGUGCUGCCAGCAGCCAGAGUGCUAUGGAGGCUUGCUGAAUGGUGAAAUAAAUGUAUGCAGUCAUCUCAAAAGCUUUAGAAAGGCAAAGCUCUGCAAGGCAGGAGCUAUUAGUCUGCACAUACAACCAGGGUUGCCCCAUCCCAGAUGCAGAAUCCAGCACUUUCCCCUGUUGAUCCUCAUACAGUUGGUGAUUCCUCAUCUCUCUAAUUUGUCAAGGUUUUUCUGCAGGGCCUCUCUACCCCAAAGGGAGUUGACAGCUCAUCUCAAUUUAGUGCUGUUGACAAGCUUAGUAUCCCUUCCAGUCCUGUGUCCAAGUCAUGAAUGAAGAUGUUGAGCAGCACAGGGCCGAGGAUGGAGCCCUGUGGAACCCGAGUGGUGACAGGUCCCCAGUCUGUUGUCACCCCAUUCACUACAUGCCUUUGUACCUGACCUGGGGGCCAGCUGCUCACCCGAAGAGUAACAUGAUUAUCCAGCUGUGGGAUGGGCAUUUUGUUCAAAAGGAUGUUGUGACAGUAGCAAAAAUUUUGCUAAAGCCAGAAAUGAGCUUGACAUGAGCUUGAAAUGAGAUUGACAGGCCUGUAGUUUUUGAAAUCCUCCUUGCCUUCUUGAAAACUGGAACAAUGUUCACCAACUUCCAGUCAGCUCCAAAUUCCCAAGAUCACUUUUAAAUGAUUGAGAGAGGCUUUGCAAUUACAUCAACUAUCUCUUUGAGGACUCCCAGAUUAAUCCCCUCAAGCUCUAUAGAUUUACAGGGAUCCAGCUGGAGCAGCAGAUCCCACAAAAUUUCAGGGUCAGCUGGGAGUUGAUCUUUCUCACAGUCAUUGUCCUCCAGCUCAGGGCUCUAAGAACCCCUUGGUUCAUCACUGGUGCUGAAGACAGAGGUAAAGCAUUAAACCCCUCUGCCUUGUCCCUGCCCCUGUUUGUGAGGUGACCAUCCUCAUCCUCAGGAAUGAGCUGCUGUUGUUUCUACCCUGCCUAUUGCCAUUAAUAUAUUUGGAAAAACGUUUUCUUGUCCCUCACAUUUCUGGCAGCUUCAACUCUAGUUCAGCUUUGGGCACAUGGAUUUUCUCCCUCCAGUGGUGAGCAGCAUUUCUGUAUUCCUCUAUGUCACCUGGCCUUGCUGACCCUGGGCAUACACUCUGAACUGGGUUACUUGGGAACAUUGCUGCUCAGUUAGCACUUAUUUAAGAAACUGGGAGGGAAUCUAUGCAAACAUUUGUCUCUGUUAACUCAAGACAACAAACAGUGAAUAAAGAUUAAAUAUAAGGGUGGAAUUGGUUGCCUAGGUAGUUUUUCUGGACUGUUGCAAGCACCUUCUAGGGGAGAAAAAUCUUAUCACAUAAUUUUACUUACAGGUUUCUGACCUUUUCCAAGUAUGUUUUGCUGGUUUUGGACUAACAAGUCUGCAGGUUUGGAAGAAGGAGGCAAUCUUUGGCUUUUUGACAGAGAUUCAGAAUUUUGAUUGUUGGUGUUUGAACAGGAGUCACCAGUCCCCAUGUGAACGGGUGACUUGCACUAUUGGCCAUACAAAUUAUAGAAGCUACAUUCAGAUAAGUGCAGCCCUUCUAAUCUCUCUGUGUGUAUGUACACACUGAUCAGUCUCCUAGAAGAAGCUAUUUUUGCAGCUGUGUAUUACUUCCCCUAAAAACUCAAUGCUUUUCCAAGACUCACUAAUUAAAAUUAGCAAGAUACCUGGGUAACUUUCUCUAAAGAGGAUGCUGAUUAAUUUCCUUUUCCUUGUCCUGAACUGAUCUGAUUAUCCUAAAUAAAUUGUAUCAGCACAGUUUUAUAGCAUUUGUAAGGGUUUUGUGUCAUCACUGAGCCUUGACCUCUUGGGAUGUCUUCUGGCUUAAACAACCAUUUAUUUUGGCCAGUUAUAUUUUUCUAUGAGAACAGCUUUU
Prinia subflava (tawny-flanked prinia) is the source of this 3579-nucleotide long non-coding RNA. RefSeq lists it as uncharacterized. The record is from RefSeq and is a predicted model, not a curated record. The transcript has 4 exons. Lineage: Eukaryota; Metazoa; Chordata; Aves; Passeriformes; Cisticolidae.